AAUGAACGUUGGCGGCAUGGAUUAGGCAUGCAAGUCGGGGGAAUCCCAGCAAUGGGGGAACCGGCGUAAGGGGCAGUAAGGCAUGGGUACCUACCUUGGGGUUCGGGAUAGCCAGCAGAGAUGGUGGGUAAUACCGGAUGACGUCGUGAGACCAAAGAGUUAUCGCCCUUAGAGGGGCCCAUGUGAUAUUAGCUAGUUGGUGGGGUAACGGCCCACCAAGGCGAAGAUGUCUAGCGGGUGUGAGAGCACGACCCGCGCCACUCGCACUGAGACACUGGCGAGACACCUACGGGUGGCUGCAGUCGAGGAUCUUCGGCAAUGAGCGCAAGCUUGACCGAGCGAUGCCGCGUGAGCGAUGAAGGCCUUCGGGUUGUAAAGCUCUUUAGUGGGGGAGAAAAGCCGCAAGGUGUGAUCUAUCCCAAAAAUAAGCACGGGCUAAGUUCGUGCCAGCCGCCGCAGUAA
RNAcentral lists this ribosomal RNA (462 nucleotides) under uncultured bacterium. RNAcentral describes it as "partial 16S ribosomal RNA". It matches the Rfam family "Bacterial small subunit ribosomal RNA", at positions 29 to 523 of the family's 1533-position model. The record is from RNAcentral.